UUUAAUGUUUGAUGUUCUAACGUGGACCCGUAAUCCGGGUUGCGGACAGUGUCUGGUGGGUAGUUUGACUGGGGCGGUCUCCUCCUAAAGAGUAACGGAGGAGCACGAAGGUUGGCUAAUCCUGGUCGGACAUCAGGAGGUUAGUGCAAUGGCAUAAGCCAGCUUGACUGCGAGCGUGACGGCGCGAGCAGGUGCGAAAGCAGGUCAUAGUGAUCCGGUGGUUCUGAAUGGAAGGGCCAUCGCUCAACGGAUAAAAGGUACUCCGGGGAUAACAGGCUGAUACCGCCCAAGAGUUCAUAUCGACGGCGGUGUUUGGCACCUCGAUGUCGGCUCAUCACAUCCUGGGGCUGAAGUAGGUCCCAAGGGUAUGGCUGUUCGCCAUUUAAAGUGGUACGCGAGCUGGGUUUAGAACGUCGUGAGACAGUUCGGUCCCUAUCUGCCGUGGGCGCUGGAGAACUGAGGGGGGCUGCUCCUAGUACGAGAGGACCGGAGUGGACGCAUCACUGGUGUUCGGGUUGUCAUGCCAAUGGCACUGCCCGGUAGCUAAAUGCGGAAGAGAUAAGUGCUGAAAGCAUCUAAGCACGAAACUUGCC
RNAcentral lists this ribosomal RNA (593 nucleotides) under Escherichia coli. RNAcentral's name for it is "partial 23S ribosomal RNA". It matches the Rfam family "Bacterial large subunit ribosomal RNA", at positions 2206 to 2798 of the family's 2925-position model. Lineage: Bacteria; Pseudomonadati; Pseudomonadota; Gammaproteobacteria; Enterobacterales; Enterobacteriaceae. The record is from RNAcentral.